AUGUGUGAUGCAACUAAGGAACAAUACACUAGGAUAUUUGACUAACAAGAAGAGUUGCUUAGGAGCAAUCCGGGUAGCACUGUUGUGGUUAAGCUUGAUCCAUCUUGUGCAAUUCCAACCUUUCAAAGAAUUUAUGUGUGUUUGAAUGCUUUAAAGCAAGGUUUCAUGUCAGGCUGUAGAAAAGUCAUUGGUUUGGAUGGGUGCUUCUUCAAAGGAGCAACAAAUGGAGAGUUGUUAUGUGCUUUGGGAAGAGAUGCAAAUAGCCAAAUGUAUCCAAUUGCUUGGGCCGUGGUUGAGAAAGAAAACAAUGAUUCUUGGGACUGGUUUUGCUCAUUACUCUUCAAAGAUGUCAAUGCAUAUGAUGGUGAAGGCUGGGUAAUAAUUCCAGACCAACAAAAAGGUAUCAUCAUAGUUGUACAGAAUUGGGCCCCUCAUGCAGAACAUAUAAAUUGUGCAAGACAUGUGUAUGCCAAUUGGAGAAAAGAAUUCAAAGUGAAAGAGUGGCAGAAACUUUUCUGGAAUUGUGCAAAGGCUUCUUCUGUGAGCCUUUUCAACUUGGCAAGGGCAAAGUUAGCAAGAGAGAUCGUCGAAGGUGCAAGGGCAGUAACCAGGUUAGAUCCCAAGCAUUGGUCAAGGGCAUGGUUCAGGUUAGGAUCUAAUUGUGACUCUGUUGAUAACAAUAUUUGUGAAAGUUAG
This 696-nucleotide ribosomal RNA is filed under the name Triticum aestivum (bread wheat). Its description in RNAcentral is "partial small subunit ribosomal RNA". The record is from RNAcentral. Lineage: Eukaryota; Viridiplantae; Streptophyta; Magnoliopsida; Poales; Poaceae.